Molecule: ribosomal RNA, 914 nt
Filed under: uncultured bacterium
Lineage: Bacteria
Description: bacterial SSU rRNA
Rfam family: Bacterial small subunit ribosomal RNA
Source: RNAcentral
GAGUUUGAUCAUGGCUCAGGAUGAACGCUGGCGGCGUGCCUAACACAUGCAAGUCGAACGGAUCCAUAUUGAAACCUAGUGAUGUAUGGAUUAGUGGCGGACGGGUGAGUAACGCGUGGAUAACCUGCCGUAUACAGGGGGAUAACACUUAGAAAUAGGUGCUAAUACCGCAUAAGCGCACGGUUCCGCAUGGAACAGUGUGAAAAACUCCGGUGGUAUACGAUGGAUCCGCGUCUGAUUAGCCAGUUGGCGGGGUAACGGCCCACCAAAGCGACGAUCAGUAGCCGGCCUGAGAGGGUGAACGGCCACAUUGGGACUGAGACACGGCCCAAACUCCUACGGGAGGCAGCAGUGGGGAAUAUUGCACAAUGGGGGAAACCCUGAUGCAGCGACGCCGCGUGAGUGAAGAAGUAUUUCGGUACGUAAAGCUCUAUCAGCAGGGAAGAAAAAAAGUCCUUUGGACUUUGGACGGUACCUGACUAAGAAGCCCCGGCUAGCUACGUGCCAGCAGCCGCGGUAAUACGUAGGGGGCAAGCGUUAUCCGGAUUUACUGGGUGUAAAGGGAGCGUAGACGGCAGCGCAAGUCUGGAGUGAAAUGCCGGGGCCCAACCCCGGAACUGCUUUGGAAACUGUGCAGCUGGAGUGCAGGAGAGGUAAGCGGAAUUCCUAGUGUAGCGGUGAAAUGCGUAGAUAUUAGGAGGAACACCAGUGGCGAAGGCGGCUUACUGGACUGUAACUGACGUUGAGGCUCGAAAGCGUGGGGAGCAAACAGGAUUAGAUACCCUGGUAGUCCACGCCGUAAACGAUGAUUACUAGGUGUCGGGGGGUCAAGGCCCUCCGGUGCCGCCGCAAACGCAUUAAGUAAUCCACCUGGGGAGUACGUUCGCAAGAAUGAAACUCAAAGGAAUUGACGG